GUGACUACCUGUUCAAAAGUAAGAUGAAUCAUCCGGACGACACCUUACACCCAAAUCAAACAGAGCAAACUUGCUACCAGAAGACAUUGGGACAUCAUAGGUGAAAGACCUCAGAGGAUCCAGCUUUAGACACAAAGAGUAUUCCAGUGACAGAAUCCACUCAAGAGAGUUGGGACCGAGGUUAUCAAGGAGCUGAGUUCUGAGUUCAGGUGCCCACGUGGCAGAGGAAUGACGCCUCCUGGCCCUUCAGACCUUUGAGACGGCCGGGAGGCCCUAGAAAUCACCUCAAGUCUCCAGUCCAGGACACAGCUGCCUAGGGGAGUCCCAGGGAAAGGCGGCAGGUAGUGUAUCCUCUCUGCGUUUUCUUCUCUUGAUCCCCCCCCCAUCCCUCCUCUGUGUGUGUGUCUGCUAUGUAUGAUCCCACACAGAACAACAUUCCAUGGGUCACUGAUGCCCGGGGACUUAUUCUAUGUUCUUAUCAACAGAGAUUGCAUGGCCCGUGGCGGACUCCAGCGCAACCUCUGCGGAAUCUACCUGAUUCCAAACCACUGGCACUUCCGGCACACAAAGCCCCUAGCGAAGAGGAGGCAAGAGAAGCCAGCUAGGAAGAGGCCCAUCACUUGGCUACAAAGCAGAUGGACCACCUCCUCAGGGCUCCUGGAAACUGCUGAAGCACAAUGAGGGAGGUGACAUCACUCACAGGAAGGAAUCAAGCAUUUACAGUGGACUUGAGACUGCAUCCUUCAGACUGAAGUCCUGAGGCCCAGUUCUGAGUCAGACUCUCUCUCUCUCUCUCUCUCUCUCUCUCUCUCUCUCUCUCUCUCUCAUUUUUCUUUUCUUGGCUCAGGAAAUUUUAACCAGGAAUUGCUUUAAUAGGUAUAAUUAGCUAUAGUUUUGUUCCCUAAUCAGCCUUGUUUCUAAACACAUUACUAGGAAUCUAGGAGGGUCCAACCAGCGCCACAGCAUAUUAGCUGAAGAAUCCAGAGUCUACUCUUGGAGUUCAUAAGUCCCACUAAUAAAAAUAAUAUAAGAGCUGACCCA
Long non-coding RNA from Mus spicilegus (steppe mouse), 1041 nucleotides. The record is from Ensembl. Lineage: Eukaryota; Metazoa; Chordata; Mammalia; Rodentia; Muridae.